Molecule: ribosomal RNA, 460 nt
Filed under: uncultured bacterium
Lineage: Bacteria
Description: partial 16S ribosomal RNA
Rfam family: Bacterial small subunit ribosomal RNA
Source: RNAcentral
CCUACGUGGGGCAGCAGUGAGGAAUAUUGGUCAAUGGGCGCGAGCCUGAACCAGCCAAGUAGCGUGAAGGAUGACUGCCCUACGGGUUGUAAACUUCUUUUAUAAAGGAAUAAAGUGAGGCAAGUGUGCCUUUUUGUAUGUACUUUAUGAAUAAGGAUCGGCUAACUCCGUGCCAGCAGCCGCGGUAAUACGGAGGAUCCGAGCGUUAUCCGGAUUUAUUGGGUUUAAAGGGAGCGUAGAUGGGUUGUUAAGUCAGUUGUGAAAGUUUGCGGCUCAACCGUAAAAGUGCAAUUGAUACUGGCAGACUUGAGUACAGUUGAGGUAGGCGGAAUUCGUGGUGUAGCGGUGAAAUGCUUAGAUAUAUCGAAGAACUCCGAUUGCGAAGGCAGCCUACUAAUCUGCCACUGACAUUGAUGCUCGAAAGUGUGGGUAUCAAACAGGAUUAGAUACCCUUGUAGUC